UUGACGGGACCCGCACAAGCGGUGGAUGAUGUGGAUUAAUUCGAUGCAACGCGAAAACCUUACCCACCUUUGACAUGGCAGGAAUCCCGAAGAGAUUUGGGAGUGCUCGAAAGAGAACCUGCACACAGGUGCUGCAUGGCUGUCGUCAGCUCGUGUCGUGAGAUGUUGGGUUAAGUCCCGCAACGAGCGCAACCCUUGCCAUUAGUUGCUACGAAAGGGCACUCUAAUGGGACUGCCGGUGACAAACCGGAGGAAGGUGGGGAUGACGUCAAGUCCUCAUGGCCCUUAUAGGUGGGGCUACACACGUCAUACAAUGGCCGGUACAGAGGGUAGCCAACCCGCGAGGGGGAGCCAAUCCCACAAAGCCGGUCGUAGUCCGGAUCGCAGUCUGCAACUCGACUGCGUGAAGUCGGAAUCGCUAGUAAUCGCGGAUCAGCAUGUCGCGGUGAAUACGUUCCCGGGUCUU
RNAcentral lists this ribosomal RNA (466 nucleotides) under uncultured Allobrachymonas sp. RNAcentral describes it as "bacterial SSU rRNA". It matches the Rfam family "Bacterial small subunit ribosomal RNA", at positions 910 to 1382 of the family's 1533-position model. Lineage: Bacteria; Pseudomonadati; Pseudomonadota; Betaproteobacteria; Burkholderiales; Comamonadaceae. The record is from RNAcentral.